Molecule: ribosomal RNA, 532 nt
Filed under: uncultured bacterium
Lineage: Bacteria
Description: partial 16S ribosomal RNA
Rfam family: Bacterial small subunit ribosomal RNA
Source: RNAcentral
UGGGGAAUAUUGCACAAUGGGCGAAAGCCUGAUGCAGCAACGCCGCGUGAGUGAUGAAGGCCUUCGGGUUGUAAAGCUCUGUCUUUUGGGACGAUAAUGACGGUACCAAAGGAGGAAGCCACGGCUAACUACGUGCCAGCAGCCGCGGUAAUACGUAGGUGGCAAGCGUUGUCCGGAUUUACUGGGCGUAAAGGAUGCGUAGGCGGAUUUUUAAGUGAGAUGUGAAAUACCCGGGCUUAACUUGGGUGCUGCAUUUCAAACUGGGAAUCUAGAGUGCGGGAGAGGAGAAUGGAAUUCCUAGUGUAGCGGUGAAAUGCGUAGAGAUUAGGAAGAACACCAGUGGCGAAGGCGAUUCUCUGGACCGUAACUGACGCUGAGGCAUGAAAGCGUGGGUAGCAAACAGGAUUAGAUACCCUGGUAGUCCACGCCGUAAACGAUGAGUACUAGGUGUAGGAGGUAUCGACCCCUUCUGUGCCGCAGUUAACACAAUCAAGUACUCCGCCUGGGGAAGUACGAUCGCAAGAUUAAAACU